Molecule: ribosomal RNA, 432 nt
Filed under: uncultured bacterium
Lineage: Bacteria
Description: partial 16S ribosomal RNA
Rfam family: Bacterial small subunit ribosomal RNA
Source: RNAcentral
AACGAACGCUGGCGGCAUGCCUAACACAUGCAAGUCGAACGAGACCUUCGGGUCUAGUGGCGCACGGGUGCGUAACGCGUGGGAACCUGCCCUUAGGUUCGGAAUAACUCCCCGAAAGGGGUGCUAAUACCGGAUAAUGUCUUCGGACCAAAGAUUUAUCGCCUUUGGAUGGGCCCGCGUUGGAUUAGCUAGUUGGUAGGGUAAAAGCCUACCAAGGCGACGAUCCAUAGCUGGUCUGAGAGGAUGAUCAGCCACACUGGGACUGAGACACGGCCCAGACUCCCACGGGGGGCAGCAGUGGGGAAUAGUGGACAAUGGGCGAAAGCCUGAUCCAGCAAUGCCGGGGGAGUGAUGAAGGCCUUAGGGUUGAAAAGCUUUUUUCCCCGGGAGGAAAAUGACAGUACCGGGAAAAAAAGCCCCGGCUAACUCCGU